RNAcentral lists this transfer RNA (72 nucleotides) under Bos taurus (domestic cattle). It matches the Rfam family "tRNA". From Rfam's summary of the family: Transfer RNA (tRNA) molecules are approximately 80 nucleotides in length. Their secondary structure includes four short double-helical elements and three loops (D, anti-codon, and T loops). RNAcentral also lists the same sequence under 5 other names. The record is from Rfam by way of RNAcentral. Lineage: Eukaryota; Metazoa; Chordata; Mammalia; Artiodactyla; Bovidae.
UCCCUGGUAUCUUAGAUGGUAAAGAAUCCUCCUGCAAUGUGGAAGACCUGGGCUCAAUCCCUGGGUUGGGAA